This 1604-nucleotide long non-coding RNA is filed under the name Gossypium barbadense (sea-island cotton). RNAcentral's name for it is "long non-coding RNA (GBAR_LNC023132)". Lineage: Eukaryota; Viridiplantae; Streptophyta; Magnoliopsida; Malvales; Malvaceae. The record is from RNAcentral.
UGAGAGAUUGUUACUCUAUUGAAAAAUAGGGAGAAUUUAUUCUCAACUAUUAAAUAUAUUUUUCCAAAAUAACAUUUCUACUGGUUUCUAUUAAAUAAGAGAAAAUUUUCGGUUUCACCCCAAAAAGAAUUUAAUGUUUUGAUUCAAUUAGUUCAAGCCCACACUCGAAGCAUUUUGUGGUAUGAGAAUAGUGAAGAAGAUCAUUUGGUUGAAAGCUCGAAAACAUCAAGGAUUUGCUUAUUCAAAAACACAUGUACGAUUUCGGUUUAACAUUUAUUGCCAUAAAUAUCACAAACCGAGUCAGUUUUCAAAUUUUUUAUUUUUCGCUAAAAUAAAACCGUUUUCAAACUAGAUUUUUUUCAACAUGAUUUUGGUAUCUCUCUUCUCAAAUCCAGCGAUUGUGUCACGAGUGGGGUGUUACAUUGACGCGAUCACAAGUUUCCACGAAGUGAGCGGCAUGUUUACAUGGAUUUCCGUUACCAUCAAACUAUUGCAAUUUUAGAGGUGGAUAAUGUUCAGGCAUAUUUAAAUGAUAAAUCCUCCAAAUGUAUGACUUCGAGUAUAUAUAUAAAGGUGGAGCAACACUUUUGACUUGAUCUUUGAUGGUUUCUUUAACGAGCUCCUUGAGUUGGUUUAAAGAAACACUUUAAAGUCCUUUAACAAUUUUGAUUCCAACAACUUUGUGAAGAGGAUGUUCAGUUUCGUUGUAAAAGGUUUGGUUACUUCCACUAAGAUGUUCAAUUUGAUCAUCCAUUCCUUUUAUGCUUGUAGUAAGACUCUCUAUCGUUUUUGCUAUAGAUCUACUUAUUCUUCUAAGAAUGUAGUGUCAGUUGUCAUGACAUUCAUCACUCUAAAAUUUGGUUCUGGGGGAGAUUUUGGAAUAUAAUUUUCACUUGAUUGACUCUUUUUUCUCCUUAAUGAUAACUGGGGAGCUACACUUGAUCCAUGAGUAGAAACUUCUGUAAAUCACAAGUUGGGCGAAGAAGCAUCAUAGAGUGGAUUGUCAUUUACCAUUAAAGAAGUCUGUUCAAAUAACUCUUAAAGAGAUUUUGUCUUUUGUUUAAUUCCAUAAGGAUAAGCAAGAACAUUGGUGCUUGAUGAUGAAGUGGAACGAGUUGUAGGAUUAGCUUGAGCAGGCUUGUGAGCUAGUUUACUAAUGAUUAUAUUCUUUGAGUUUAAUGCAACUUUGAACUUUAACUUUUUGAGGGAAUAGAUAAAAGUCAAAGAAUGUCCCACCAAGUGUAUUAGAAAUUUGUACAUACAAAAUUUGAGUUGAAAAUUGACUUGAAAAUUUGGCGUAUAAUUUUAUUUAUAACUUCGAUAAUAGUACAAUCUCAAAUUUUCUUUACAAAGAAAAUUCCUUUUUUUUCCCCUAGAUUGAGCUUCGAUCCAUGCGUCAUCCAAACUUGAUCUACUUAGGAUAGAAUAUUGUUUUCUAUGAAAUAAAUAUUAUUCGUGUUUUACUAAUUCAACUAGCAUUCUCGUGUCUCUCCCUAUAAAUAGAUAGUACUGGUAGAGCUAUUAACACAAGACAUAAGUUUUACAUAUUGUUAUUCUACUAGAAAGUAGUGAGAAUAUAUUUUCAAAAAAUAAAUUUUAUUUUC